CCUACGGGUGGCUGCAGUGAGGAAUAUUGGUCAAUGGCCGAGAGCCUGAACCAGCCAAGUCGCGUGAGGGAAGAAUGUCCUAUGGAUUGUAAACCUCUUUUGUCGGGGAGCAAAAGCCCCCACGUGUGGGUUUCCGAGAGUACCUGAAGAAAAAGCAUCGGCUAACUCCGUGCCAGCAGCCGCGGUAAUACGGAGGAUGCGAGCGUUAUCCGGAUUUAUUGGGUUUAAAGGGUGCGUAGGCGGGUGAUCAAGUCAGCGGUAAAAUCGAGCGGCUCAACCUCAUCGAGCCGUUGAAACUGGUGUUCUUGAGUGGGCGAGAAGUAUGCGGAAUGCGUGGUGUAGCGGUGAAAUGCAUAGAUAUCACGCAGAACUCCGAUUGCGAAGGCAGCAUACCGGCGCUCAACUGACGCUGAUGCACGAAAGUGUGGGUAUCGAACAGGAUUAGAUACCCUAGUAGUC
Molecule: ribosomal RNA, 459 nt
Filed under: uncultured bacterium
Lineage: Bacteria
Description: partial 16S ribosomal RNA
Rfam family: Bacterial small subunit ribosomal RNA
Source: RNAcentral